Beta vulgaris subsp. vulgaris (sugar beet) is the source of this 286-nucleotide long non-coding RNA. RefSeq lists it as uncharacterized. Lineage: Eukaryota; Viridiplantae; Streptophyta; Magnoliopsida; Caryophyllales; Amaranthaceae. The transcript is spliced from 3 exons. The record is from RefSeq and is a predicted model, not a curated record.
CAGAAUAUUACUCCACCAUGAACAUUAAAGUGUUCUUCUACUUCAUAGUUAAUGCUUGCGAAUUGUUGUUGUUAUUGGAGAAUACGAAUCAAGCAAUGGAGUUCAAAGGUCAGAUUUCGGAGGGCAACACCAUAAAGAGGAUUUUUGUAAUUAAUCAACUUUGCAAGAAUGAGGAGCACAUUGAAUGUUCGGCAGCAAUAAAGCAUAAUGCAUCGCAUCACCUUUCUAAAAUAUUAGAAUAAAAGACUAUGGCAUUCUACCUUAGUUUUGUUUGUCAAUCUCUUUA